CCUACGGGAGGCUGCAGUCGAGAAUCAUUCACAAUGGGGGAAACCCUGAUGGUGCGACGCCGCGUGGGGGAAUGAAGGUCUUCGGAUUGUAAACCCCUGUCAUGUGGGAGCAAAUUAAAAAGAUCGUACCACAAGAGGAAGAGACGGCUAACUCUGUGCCAGCAGCCGCGGUAAUACAGAGGUCUCAAGCGUUGUUCGGAAUCACUGGGCGUAAAGCGUGCGUAGGCUGUUUCGUAAGUCGUGUGUGAAAGGCGCGGGCUCAACCCGCGGACGGCACAUGAUACUGCGAGACUAGAGUAAGGGAGGGGGAACCGGAAUUCUCGGUGUAGCAGUGAAAUGCGUAGAUAUCGAGAGGAACACUCGUGGCGAAGGCGGGUUCCUGGACAUUAACUGACGCUGAGGCACGAAGGCCAGGGGAGCGAAAGGGAUUAGAUACCCGUGUAGUC
Molecule: ribosomal RNA, 446 nt
Filed under: uncultured bacterium
Lineage: Bacteria
Description: partial 16S ribosomal RNA
Rfam family: Bacterial small subunit ribosomal RNA
Source: RNAcentral